UGGUCAGUUUUUGCUUCCUCCAUUUUGUC
This 29-nucleotide non-coding RNA is filed under the name Mus musculus (house mouse). Lineage: Eukaryota; Metazoa; Chordata; Mammalia; Rodentia; Muridae. The record is from RNAcentral.